CACCUAAAAAUCUAUAAAUUCUCAGACCCUCAUUUAUCUUCUAUCUAUGGACAGUCACACCCUAAAAAGCUAUUAACUAUCUCAAAAACCCUAGCCUUUACUCUCAGCCAUCUUCAAUUUCCCUAACCCCCCAAGAACCCAUAACUUUAUCCUCAUCAUCAUCAAUAACUUCACAUCCCAAACCCUAAGCCUCUCAUUUCUUUGUUCUCACCAUAGCCGUUGAGAGCUACUAAUGUCGAAAUAGAGAAGCUUGAAGUCCACCACUAGCCAACUAGUUAUCAAUGGCAUUAAACAUUUUCUAAGCUUAAAACAGAGAUGCUCUAUGGUUAUAGAGAUUUCUUUAACUGGGUCUGUUGAUAGCAAGCCUUGGCAAUUGAAUGGGCUGACUGGUUGAAUCAAAUCGACUCAAAUUAGGAAACAAAUAGAGAAGACUUUAUUUGGGUUCUACUUAUCUAGUACAAUUUCUUUUGGAUUUUCAUGGUUAUGGCGGGUUUAAAUUAUCAGCUCAAUGGAUCUAAAUUAGAUGCACUGGUUGUGAUGCUCAGAAACUCUCAGACCAAUGACUUUGACAUUCUCUCCUACUCUAACGUUGGAGCCUUCAGGUAUCAAUACCUUCAUAUAUUCCAUUUUGGGGAGAUGUAAUAGUAAAGAAGCAGGUACCUAUGUCUCUAGUGAUUGAAAUUAUCAUCGAAAAGGAUGCAAAGGAAACUAGUUUGCCAAAAGAAGAGAACCCAAUUUGUUAAAGGAGGUGAUGUUGAUCGAAAACCACCAUGAAGAUUGCAUCAUUAGUCAUUUGAAGGUUGAACAAUAUUUUUUUGUAGAAUAUAAAUCUUAAUAAUUGUUGUAGUCACAUUUGUACUCUUGUUGAAAGAAUUAGAAAUUGUUGUUUGAAAUAUUUUGAUGUAAUUUACAAAUUUGUAUGCAAUUAUUGUAUAUAAGUAGCUACAUUAAUGGUUUGAACUAGGUUAUUAUA
This is a long non-coding RNA of Vitis riparia (riverbank grape), 973 nucleotides long. RefSeq lists it as uncharacterized. The record is from RefSeq and is a predicted model, not a curated record. The transcript is spliced from 5 exons. NCBI's taxonomy places the organism in Eukaryota, Viridiplantae, Streptophyta, Magnoliopsida, Vitales, Vitaceae.